RNAcentral lists this ribosomal RNA (248 nucleotides) under uncultured bacterium. Its description in RNAcentral is "partial 16S ribosomal RNA". It matches the Rfam family "Bacterial small subunit ribosomal RNA", at positions 524 to 769 of the family's 1533-position model. The record is from RNAcentral.
UACGUAGGGGGCAAGCGUUGUCCGGAUUCAUUGGGCGUAAAGAGCGUGUAGGCGGCCAGGUAGGUCGGUUGUGAAAACUGGAGGCUCAACCUUCAGAGGUCGACCGAAACCAUCUGGCUAGAGUCCGGGAGAGGAGAGUGGAAUUCCUGGUGUAGCGGUGAAAUGCGCAGAUAUCAGGAAGAACACCCGUGGCGAAAGCGGCUCUCUGGAACGGUAACUUGACGCUGAGACGCGAAACGUGGGGGAGU